This 237-nucleotide long non-coding RNA is filed under the name Panax ginseng (ginseng). RNAcentral describes it as "long non-coding RNA (PGIN_LNC005567)". Lineage: Eukaryota; Viridiplantae; Streptophyta; Magnoliopsida; Apiales; Araliaceae. The record is from RNAcentral.
CACAAUAUUCUUAUAAUUAAGUUUUUUAGUUUAAGGUUAAACUAUAAUAUAUAAGUCGAUGAGGUCUUAACUUAGUGGUUAAGAUCACCGGAAUACUAUGACCUUUAGGUCUCAUAUUUGUUAGUCACUCAGGUGAGUUUAUUUCUUCCAUUAUGAGAAGUUUGUCUUGUUUGGUUUGAGUUUAUUUCUUUCUCUUCUAGCUAGGUUUGAUUGGAUAUUUGAUAUUGUAAUAGUGUG